GGGCCUCUAGCUCAGCUGGUUAGAGCAGCGGACUUUUAAUCCGCGGGUCGUGGGUUCGAGCCCCACGGGGCCUAC
This 75-nucleotide transfer RNA is filed under the name Arsenicicoccus piscis. Its description in RNAcentral is "tRNA-Lys". It matches the Rfam family "tRNA". From Rfam's summary of the family: Transfer RNA (tRNA) molecules are approximately 80 nucleotides in length. The record is from RNAcentral. Lineage: Bacteria; Bacillati; Actinomycetota; Actinomycetes; Micrococcales; Intrasporangiaceae.